Small nuclear RNA from Apodemus sylvaticus (European woodmouse), 105 nucleotides. The record is from RefSeq and is a predicted model, not a curated record. NCBI's taxonomy places the organism in Eukaryota, Metazoa, Chordata, Mammalia, Rodentia, Muridae.
GUUCCCUUUGGCAGCACAUAUAAUAAAAUUGGAAUGAUAAAGACAAGUUUACCAUGGCCCAUGAACAAGGAUGACACACAAAUUCGUGAAACGUUCCAUGAAUUG